RNAcentral lists this long non-coding RNA (1188 nucleotides) under Hordeum vulgare. Its description in RNAcentral is "long non-coding RNA (HVUL_LNC011533)". The record is from RNAcentral. Lineage: Eukaryota; Viridiplantae; Streptophyta; Magnoliopsida; Poales; Poaceae.
CCUAACCUCUACCGAACAAUUAUGCCACCCCGGGAAAUAAUUGAUUGGUCGUCCUUCACAGCAAUUACAGAAAACAUAGAGAUCAUACCUGAUUAAAAUUGUGUCCCUGGAAAAAAUUAAAUCUUUUGCAUAUUAUGUUUGGAACCUGUAAAAAAACUGAAUCCAUUCAAAUUCUUAUAAUACACAUAAAAUCAGGCCCAAAAUCACAUGUGAUAAGAAAAUGCACAUAAAGGAUAAGAAGUAAAAAAGCAGUCCUAGUAUAGGUCAGAAAAACAAACUGGAUUAAAAAAUAUAUUUUUUACUCGUACCAUGGGCAUCGGUAGCCCCGUUGAUGGUCAACUUUAUGGGCUGGAUUGAAUAAUUUUGGAUUCAGAGGUCCUUACCAUCAAGGGACGCAUCGAUCUUAUCAAUAGAAUUGGAUAUUUUACGCUACGUGUCAGAGAUGAGGAACAGGGGAGUUCAAGGGAUACUGGUCGUAAAAAAAAUGAAAAACUGAGACAAAAGAGAGAGCUCUUAUGUGCUAUAAAAAUAUGAAACUUGUUUACUUGAGCGAAUCUCCAUGUUAAAUAUCAUAUAUAGAGAGGUGCGUGCUAAAAAGUUAUUAUAAUUAAAUACAGUAAGAACAAUAUCAUAUUACCUCAGAUUAAAAUCAGACCAUUUGCUUAAUGCUGAGCUUGUCGCCUCGUCCUUGGCCGCCAUGGUGCCGCGGCCAAGAAAAGCUUUCCAUAUGUACCCUGGUUCUGUAGUCUAGACGCAUAGUGAAAGGUCCAAUUAUAUAAUUAGCUGAUGAUGUUCAUCAUAUACAUGCAAAUCUCGCUUGCCUAAUUGCCGCUGGAUAUAACUCGCUGCGAUCUCUUCGUCACCUGCAACACACGAAGAGAGGGAGAGGCUGAUGCCUGAUUGCACCGGGAGGAAGAGAUCAAGGCCUACCCGCCAUGAUCUGAUGCAGAUAGAUUUCAUCGGGAGAUGUGAUUUGCAGCUCAAUCUAACACGCCGCCGAUGAAAGGAAAGACAUGUUACUUUGAACAUGCCUAUGACCUGCCCUUCAAGAUUUGCACCAGGUCAUCAUGGGAGGGGCGAUGGAGGCCUAACCCAAGAACUCUACAUCAGGGAUUAUCUGGAGACGAUCUCUUGAGAUGUCGAUCCUGUUGGUAGGGUAAGGAAAAUAGAUGACAGACCCUGUUUUAG